UAGGGAAUAUUGGACAAUGGGGGCAACCCUGAUCCAGCCAUGCCGCGUGAGUGAAGAAGGCCCUCGGGUUGUAAAGCUCUUUUGUCCGGAAAGAAAAGCUUCGGGUUAAUACCCCGGGGUUCUGACGGUACCGGAAGAAUAAGCACCGGCUAACUUCGUGCCAGCAGCCGCGGUAAUACGAAGGGUGCAAGCGUUAAUCGGAAUUACUGGGCGUAAAGCGUGCGCAGGCGGCUUUGUAAGACAGAUGUGAAAUCCCCGGGCUCAACCUGGGAACUGCAUUUGUGACUGCAAGGCUAGAGUGCGUCAGAGGGAGGUGGAAUUCCGCGUGUAGCAGUGAAAUGCGUAGAGAUGCGGAGGAACACCGAUGGCGAAGGCAGCCUCCUGGGAUGACACUGACGCUCAUGCACGAAAGCGUGGGGAGCAAACA
RNAcentral lists this ribosomal RNA (427 nucleotides) under uncultured bacterium. RNAcentral's name for it is "bacterial SSU rRNA". It matches the Rfam family "Bacterial small subunit ribosomal RNA", at positions 355 to 774 of the family's 1533-position model. The record is from RNAcentral.